ACAGUUUUGCACAUAUCAUGUAAGACUCAAUUUCUCGGCAUACCCCCGGACCCCCCUAGGGAGAGCACCCUCACAUAACAAAUCGCAAUUUAACCCCUGGCCAUACAUAUGAAGACAUACAAUCAAAUUGUGUGGAUAUAAAUAAAUUCAGAUCAAAUUAAUUUGAACAGUGAAAUCAUAUUGUUGCCAUUUCUAUUAACUAUUCAUAUUUUUUUCAGGUCCAGCUUUGCUCAGCGGUGGUUUGUGAGCGUGGAGGGCUAGGUUGUCAGUGAGGGAGUGUCCUUUGUGCUGGGGCUUGCUGGUCUAAUGUCAACUUUCUACAACUUUAACCUGCAAUACCAGGACUAUGCUGCAUGGUCGUUGGAGUUCAUUCAGAGAAUCUGCAUGGGGAUUAAUCCUGAGAGAGGAUCAAAGGCAUACAGUGGACAGGCACCCAGCAGAAAAACUGGAAAGAUGGUCCAGAAGAAACCAUCAACAGUGAACCUGCAUGUCUGCACCCUAAUCAGGAAGCUCAACGACUUCAAGUGGGACUUUGUUUGAUCUUCUCUCAUAGCAUUGUAUUGUUUAGGUGCAGAUACCAUUUGUCAAUUAUCAAUGAACAAUAUAUGCCGAUAAAUACUGAUCGAUUUUGUGUUGUUUAGUUUAGUUAUUGCAGCUGAUAGAGCUGUAUUAUUGUAUUGGCCAGUUUCCCUGUUUGCAGUGUAUUGGGAUCGUGACCGGCUAUAUAAUGGUGUGUGACUCCAUGGAGCUCAACAGGGACUUCUCACUUUUUUUUUUACGGUGGUUCCAGAAGUGUUUCAUUGACAUUUCAAAAAUUGCUCAUAUAUAGGUUUAACCCUGGAACUGAGCCAACCAGCUACAAGAUGAGUUACUAGUUUUGGUGAUUAUGAAACAUUUGAUUCAGCACUAAAAAACAUUUUGAAAACAAGUUACAAUACUGUGUAGAGAAACUAUCAUAGAUGUUCAAUGGUAGAGGCUCGCUCUAGCCGUUCACGGUUUUGUGGAUACGGUAAACGUGUCUAUGGUAACGAGUUGGGCCAAUCAGAGACAUUACUGUUACACUUAGGAUUGUGGGUAGUGUAAUUUCUCUCCAUAAGAUCACACAUAAAACAUGUUUUUCUUAAUGCAAGUUUGAUUUCAUACGGACCUCUUGCUUUUACAACCUUUUAGCUCGGGGUCAGUCUGCCUCGGAUGAUUUAGAUUGCUAAUGAUAGACACAUUUUCUAUUGUAUGCAGACGAGUGCGUAUGUUGGAUGUCACGAACACGCCGCAAAACGGGUGUUAACUUUUUCUGCUACGGCAUUGAUACAGUUCACAAAACUGCAAACUGCUGUACCUUUCUUUAAACGUGCUGUAUACUCACAUGAUAUUUACUAUACAGUAUAAAUAAAGAGUUAAUUAGA
Molecule: long non-coding RNA, 1403 nt
Organism: Perca fluviatilis (European perch)
Lineage: Eukaryota; Metazoa; Chordata; Actinopteri; Perciformes; Percidae
Exons: 2
Source: RefSeq, a predicted model, not a curated record